UAGGGAAUCUUCCACAAUGGACGCAAGUCUGAUGGAGCAACGCCGCGUGAGUGAAGAAGGUUUUCGGACCGUAAAGCUCUGUUGUUGGUGAAGAAGGAUAGAGGUAGUAACUGGCCUUUAUUUGACGGUAAUCAACCAGAAAGUCACGGCUAGCUACGUGCCAGCAGCCGCGGUAAUACGUAGGUGGCAAGCGUUGUCCGGAUUUAUUGGGCGUAAAGCGAGCGCAGGCGGAAGAAUAAGUCUGAUGUGAAAGCCCUCGGCUUAACCGAGGAAUUGCAUCGGAAACUGUUUUCUUGAGUGCAGAAGAGGAGAGUAGAACUCCAUGUGUAGCGGUGGAAUGCGUAGAUAUAUGGAAGAAUACCAGUGGCGAAGGCGGCUCUCUGGUCUGCAAACUGACGCUGAGGCUCGAAAGCAUGGGUAGCGAACAGGAUUAGAUACCCUGGUGAGUCCAUGCCGUAAACGAUGAGUGCUAAGUGUUGGGAGGCUUCCGCCUCUCAGUGCUGCAGCUAACGCAUUAAGCACUCCGCCUGGGGGAGUACGACCGCAAGGUUGAAAC
Molecule: ribosomal RNA, 556 nt
Filed under: uncultured bacterium
Lineage: Bacteria
Description: partial 16S ribosomal RNA
Rfam family: Bacterial small subunit ribosomal RNA
Source: RNAcentral